Molecule: transfer RNA, 73 nt
Filed under: Hadesarchaea archaeon
Lineage: Archaea; Methanobacteriati; Hadarchaeota (SeqCode); Hadarchaeia (SeqCode)
Description: tRNA-Thr
Rfam family: tRNA
About the family: Transfer RNA (tRNA) molecules are approximately 80 nucleotides in length. Their secondary structure includes four short double-helical elements and three loops (D, anti-codon, and T loops).
Source: RNAcentral
GCCGCCGUAGCUCAGUUGGUAGAGCGCCACCUUGGUAAGGUGGAGGUCGCGAGUUCAAUCCUCGCUGGCGGCU